This 255-nucleotide ribosomal RNA is filed under the name uncultured bacterium. RNAcentral describes it as "partial 16S ribosomal RNA". It matches the Rfam family "Bacterial small subunit ribosomal RNA", at positions 524 to 776 of the family's 1533-position model. The record is from RNAcentral.
UACGUAGGGUGCAAGCGUUUGUCCGGAAUUAUUGGGCGUAAAGAGCUCGUAGGCGGUCUGUUGCGUCGGCUGUGAAAACCCGGGGCUCAACCCCGGGCCUGCAGCCGAUACGGGCAGACUAGAGUUCGGCAGGGGAGACUGGAAUUCCUGGUGUAGCGGUGGAAAUGCGCAGAUAUCAGGAGGAACACCGGUGGCGAAGGCGGUUCUCUGGGCAAUAACUGACGCUGAGGAGCGAAAGCGUGGGGAGCGAACAGG